GCGCUGACGAGUGGCGGACGGGUGAGUAACGCGUAGGAAUCUGCCUUAUAGUGGGGGACAACGUGGGGAAACCCACGCUAAUACCGCAUACGCCCUACGGGGGAAAGGAGGGGAUCUUCGGACCUUUCGCUAUGAGAUGAGCCUGCGUUAGAUUAGCUAGUUGGUAGGGUAAAGGCCUACCAAGGCGACGAUCUAUAGCUGGUCUGAGAGGACGAUCAGCCACACUGGGACUGAGACACGGCCCAGACUCC
RNAcentral lists this ribosomal RNA (251 nucleotides) under uncultured Methylobacter sp. RNAcentral's name for it is "partial 16S ribosomal RNA". It matches the Rfam family "Bacterial small subunit ribosomal RNA", at positions 85 to 339 of the family's 1533-position model. The record is from RNAcentral. Lineage: Bacteria; Pseudomonadati; Pseudomonadota; Gammaproteobacteria; Methylococcales; Methylococcaceae.